AUGUCUCCAUAGCUCAGUUGGUAGAGCAAGGGACUUUUAAUCCUUGGGUCCACGGUUCGAGUCCGUGUGGGACAUA
Molecule: transfer RNA, 76 nt
Filed under: Weissella viridescens
Lineage: Bacteria; Bacillati; Bacillota; Bacilli; Lactobacillales; Lactobacillaceae
Description: tRNA-Lys(ttt)
Rfam family: tRNA
About the family: Transfer RNA (tRNA) molecules are approximately 80 nucleotides in length. Their secondary structure includes four short double-helical elements and three loops (D, anti-codon, and T loops).
Source: RNAcentral